RNAcentral lists this ribosomal RNA (468 nucleotides) under uncultured bacterium. RNAcentral's name for it is "partial 16S ribosomal RNA". It matches the Rfam family "Bacterial small subunit ribosomal RNA", at positions 28 to 507 of the family's 1533-position model. The record is from RNAcentral.
GACGAACGCUGGCGGCGUGCUUAACACAUGCAAGUCGAACGGAAAGGCCCUGCUUUUGUGGGGUGCUCGAGUGGCGAACGGGUGAGUAACACGUGAGUAACCUGCCCUUGACUUUGGGAUAACUUCAGGAAACUGGGGCUGAUACCGGAUAGGAGCUCCUGCUGCAUGGUGGGGGUUGGAAAGUUUCGGCGGUUGGGGAUGGACUCGCGGCUUAUCAGCUUGUUGGUGGGGUAGUGGCUUACCAAGGCUUUGACGGGUAGCCGGCCUGAGAGGGUGACCGGCCACAUUGGGACUGAGAUACGGCCCAGACUCCCACGGGAGGCAGCAGUGGGGAAUAUUGCACAAUGGGCGGAAGCCUGAUGCAGCAACGCCGCGUGCGGGAUGACGGCCUUCGGGUUGUAAACCGCUUUCGCCUGUGACGAAGCGUGAGUGACGGUAAUGGGUAAAGAAGCACCGGCUAACUACGUG